AUUGAACGCUGGCGGCAUGCUUUACACAUGCAAGUCGAACGGUAACAGGCCGCAAGGUGCUGACGAGUGGCGAACGGUUGAUUAAUGCAUCGGAACGUGCCCAGUCGUGGGGUAUAACUACUCGAAAGAGUAGCUAAUACCGCAUACGAUCUAUGGAUGAAAUCGGGGGACCGUAAGGCCUCUCGCGAUUGGAGCGGCCGAUGUCAGAUUAGGUAGUUGGUGGGGUAAAGGCUCACCAAGCGAACGAUCUGUAGCUGGUCUGAGAGGACGACCAGCCACACUGGGAGUGAGAAACGGCCAAGACUCCUACGGGAGGAAGCAGUGGGGAAUUUUGGACAAUGGGCGCAAGCCUGAUCCAGCAAUGCCGCGUGGAGGAAGAAGGCCUUCGGGUUGUAAACUGCUUUUGUACGGAACGAAACGGCUCUGGUUAAUACCCGGGGAUAAUGACGGUACCGUAAGAAUAAGCACCGGCUAACUACGUG
This 482-nucleotide ribosomal RNA is filed under the name uncultured bacterium. Its description in RNAcentral is "partial 16S ribosomal RNA". It matches the Rfam family "Bacterial small subunit ribosomal RNA", at positions 30 to 507 of the family's 1533-position model. The record is from RNAcentral.